Molecule: ribosomal RNA, 402 nt
Filed under: uncultured alveolate
Lineage: Eukaryota
Description: SSU rRNA
Rfam family: Eukaryotic small subunit ribosomal RNA
Source: RNAcentral
CAAUAGCGUACACUAAAGUUGUUGCGGUUAAAAAGCUCGUAGUUGGAUUUCUGCUGAGGACGACCGACCUACCCAUACGGGUUUGCGUCUGGUUUGACCGAGGCAUCCUCUUGGAAGACGUAGUGCACUUUACUGGGUAUUACGGAGUCCAGGACUUUUACUUUGAGGAAAUUAGAGUGUUUCAAUCAGGCAUUUGCCGUGAAUACAUUAGCAUGGAAUAAUAAUAUAGGACUUCGGUUCUAUUUUGUUGGUUUCUAGAACUGAAGUAAUGAUUAAUAGGGACAGUCGGGGGCAUUCGUACUUAACUGUCAGAGGUGAAAUUCUUGGAUUUGUUAAAGACGAACUACUGCGAAAGCAUUUGCCAAGGAUGUUUUCAUUGAUCAAGAACGAAAGUUAGGGGAU